AUUGAACGCUGGCGGAAUGCUUUACACAUGCAAGUCGAACGGCAGCACGGACUUCGGUCUGGUGGCGAGUGGCGAACGGGUGAGUAAUAUAUCGGAACGUGCCCAGUCGUGGGGGAUAACGUAGUGAAAAUUACGCUAAUACCGCAUACGAUCUACGGAUGAAAGCGGGGGAUCGAAAGACCUCGCGCGAUUGGAGCGGCCGAUAUCAGAUUAGGUAGUUGGUGAGGUAAAGGCUCACCAAGCCGACGAUCUGUAGCUGGUCUGAGAGGACGACCAGCCACACUGGAACUGAGACACGGUCCAGACUCCUACGGGAGGCAGCAGUGGGGAAUUUUGGACAAUGGACGCAAGUCUGAUCCAGCCAUUCCGCGUGCAGGACGAAGGCCUUCGGGUUGUAAACUGCUUUUGUACAGAACGAAAAGGUCUCUAUUAAUACUAGGGGCUCAUGACGGUACUGUAAGAAUAAGCACCGGCUAACUACGUG
This 484-nucleotide ribosomal RNA is filed under the name uncultured bacterium. RNAcentral's name for it is "bacterial SSU rRNA". It matches the Rfam family "Bacterial small subunit ribosomal RNA", at positions 30 to 507 of the family's 1533-position model. The record is from RNAcentral.